Molecule: ribosomal RNA, 509 nt
Filed under: uncultured bacterium
Lineage: Bacteria
Description: bacterial SSU rRNA
Rfam family: Bacterial small subunit ribosomal RNA
Source: RNAcentral
CUACGUGCCAGCAGCCGCGGUAAUACGGAGGGUGCGAGCGUUAAUCGGAAUAACUGGGCGUAAAGGGCACGCAGGCGGUGACCUAAGUGAGGUGUGAAAGCCCCGGGCUUAACCUGGGAAUUGCAUUUGAAACUGGCAAGCUAGAGUCUUGUAGAGGGGGGUAGAAUUCCAGGUGUAGCGGUGAAAUGCGUAGAGAUCUGGAGGAAUACCGGUGGCGAAGGCGGCCCCCUGGACAAAGACUGACGCUCAGGUGCGAAAGCGUGGGGAGCAAACAGGAUUAGAUACCCUGGUAGUCCACGCUGUAAACGAUGUCGACUUGGAGGUUGUGCCCUUGAGGCGUGGCUUCCGGAGCUAACGCGUUAAGUCGACCGCCUGGGGAGUACGGCCGCAAGGUUAAAACUCAAAUGAAUUGACGGGGGCCCGCACAAGCGGUGGAGCAUGUGGUUUAAUUCGAUGCAACGCGAAGAACCUUACCUACUCUUGACAUCCAGAGAAUUCGCUAGAGAUAG